This 897-nucleotide long non-coding RNA is filed under the name Homo sapiens (human). Its description in RNAcentral is "HSALNT0089871". Lineage: Eukaryota; Metazoa; Chordata; Mammalia; Primates; Hominidae. The record is from RNAcentral.
UGGAAAAUCCAUUCUAUGUCUGGCUCAUGUCACAUUCAUAUUUCAUGUCUAUUAGAAGAAUCUCAUGCCACAUCAAUUGUUUGUGAUCUACAUUACAUAUAAUAGGCUCUCUGCUUAUCUUUGACACAGGUGAGGGGCUGAUGUAGAAACUGUUAAAAGACUAUACAAUGACUUGUAUAUUCAAUAAUGGCUCAAACUUCAAAGGUCUAUCAUUUUGCCCUGCUCUUCAUUUCUUUCCUCAUAAUGCUUCUCAAAGCAAUCUUGUCUUUCCAGCCUCACAAUCAAGGACAAAUUCCUGAAUGCAACAUUUGCUUUUCCGUCUUCCCGCUUCACCUCACUCAUCCCUGCAGAAGUACAAGUAUUCCUGGCUUCUUCAAGUCUACGCCUAAGAAUUAAGAGCCUUGGGGAGAAGGGCACUGCAUCGACCACUGCAUCUCAAUCAUUGUGGCAGACGUACCACAGCACUGGGAAGCUGGCCUUGGCAAGAAUCUCAGGCUAUUACUACAGAGUUGGGAAGAAGGUUUAGGAUCAAGAUAGAGGUGACUGACCAAGCAAUGCAUAUUCAUCGGACUGCAGAGGUUUAAUGACAUCAGGGAACCAAACGGAUAAUCCAUAGUACCUGCAAAGACAAAGAAAUCAGCAGAAAUGGAGUAAGACAUCUGACAUCCUGGCCCCAAUAUCUUUCUCAUCAUUCCAGUCUGCUCUGAGAAACUCUCUCUCCUAGUCUGGUGGUACAAACUCCUGGGAUCCAAGCACGCUGUGUCAUGCUGCUGUACUGUUCAGUACAGAAGCCACUAACCACGUGUGCCUACCAGGCAGUUGAGAUGUGGCUGGUUCAAACUGAGAUAUACUAUAAAUAUAAAAUACCACAGGAUUUUGAAGACUUACGGAAAAAAA